GUUCAAACACUUGGAAAAGAAAAGCAGAUCGCCGCACCCGCUGCUCAAACUCCGUCGCCGCCGCAGCCGCUACUCAAACUCAGUCGGCGCUUUCGUUGCAACUCUGUCACCGUACCUACACCAACUUCGUCGCCCAUAGCAGAGCUUGGUCAAUGGAGGUUUUCGCCCAUAGCAGCGCCCACUGUGUUAGCCUUCGCAGCCGCCCGUCGCCGUUGCCGUCCCUCAUCGCUGUUUGCUUAUUUCUCGUUGCCGUCGAUGCGCUCCUUGUUGUUUCUAGUCGCCUUCGCCGUAUUUCUACAGUGUGAAAUUGGUGGAGCAAGAGUUAUGGCAGAAAGAAAAUAAGGGAGUGAUUGGGAUUCUCCUUGUUCAGGAUUCCGCAGAGACUAGUACUGUGGAUCCUGCUUUGUCUCCAGGCAUUGGAACUGAUUUUGUAGAGUGUACCUUGAAAAAUCAAGCUAGCAUAUCAUAUUUAACAAACAUGAUGGAAAAAGUCUGCAGCAAGUUCACUGGCAUAAGUGGUGAGUUGCUGCUUGAGCCCUGCAUCUCUCAAGAGGAGUGGAGAGACCAAGUGGGAGAGUGACUUAUUCAGUUGUGUUAGGACUUUGCAGAUUCCGUGUACAGGAGAUAAGUACCAGAGGGACUUAUUACACAGCACGAAUUACUUCUCUUGAGUUGACUAAAGCUGGUUCAGUAUAUCACUAAAUCUGGUUGGAUAUGUAAGGAAACUGUGACCAACUUGAAGCAAACACAACCUCAAGUGGCAGAAUCAGCAGUGUGGUUGGAGGCCACUGGUGGUUUGAGGAAAGGGGGUACGUUUUAGGAUUUGGGUCGGGUACCGCAUACUACUUCCCCGAAGCUAUGAUACACAUGAAAUCCAAUAUAGGGCCAUCAACUUCACAUUCAUCUUGCAAAGCUCGAAUUAAGCAAUUAGAGGAGCAAAAUCAAGUGAUGCAACAGCAGCAACAAGAUAUGCAUGAGGAAAA
Ipomoea triloba (trilobed morning glory) is the source of this 983-nucleotide long non-coding RNA. RefSeq lists it as uncharacterized. Lineage: Eukaryota; Viridiplantae; Streptophyta; Magnoliopsida; Solanales; Convolvulaceae. The record is from RefSeq and is a predicted model, not a curated record. The transcript is spliced from 6 exons.